UACCAGCACCCCGAGUGGUCGGGACGUUUUAUUGGGCCUAAAGCAUCCGUAGCCGGUUCUACAAGUCUUCCGUUAAAUCCACCUGCUUAACAGAUGGGCUGCGGAAGAUACUAUGGAGCUAGGAGGCGGGAGAGGCAAGCGGUACUCGAUGGGUAGGGGUAAAAUCCGUUGAUCCAUUGAAGACCACCAGUGGCGAAGGCGGCUUGCCAGAACGCGCUCGACGGUGAGGGAUGAAAGCUGGGGGGAGCAAACCGGG
This 256-nucleotide ribosomal RNA is filed under the name uncultured bacterium. Its description in RNAcentral is "partial 16S ribosomal RNA". It matches the Rfam family "Archaeal small subunit ribosomal RNA", at positions 474 to 728 of the family's 1478-position model. The record is from RNAcentral.